UACGAAGGGGGCUAGCGUUGUUCGGAAUUACUGGGCGUAAAGCGCGCGUAGGCGGACCUGCAAGUCGAGGGUGAAAGCCCGAGGCUCAACCUCGGAACUGCCUUCGAUACUGCGGGUCUCGAGUCCGGGAGAGGUGAGUGGAAUUCCUAGUGUAGAGGUGAAAUUCGUAGAUAUUAGGAAGAACACCAGUGGCGAAGGCGGCUCACUGGCCCGGUACUGACGCUGAGGCGCGAAAGCGUGGGGAGCAAACAGG
RNAcentral lists this ribosomal RNA (253 nucleotides) under uncultured bacterium. RNAcentral's name for it is "partial 16S ribosomal RNA". It matches the Rfam family "Bacterial small subunit ribosomal RNA", at positions 524 to 776 of the family's 1533-position model. The record is from RNAcentral.